This 469-nucleotide long non-coding RNA is filed under the name Physcomitrium patens. RNAcentral describes it as "long non-coding RNA (PPAT_LNC013602)". The record is from RNAcentral. Lineage: Eukaryota; Viridiplantae; Streptophyta; Bryopsida; Funariales; Funariaceae.
AAAUCGAAGAGAUUGAAUAAUCCAAUUAAAAAAAAUAAAAAAUAAAAAAUAAAAAAAUAAUUUUUGUUUAUCAAUAUUGUAUUUACAGGGACGCUGCACAGUUAAGAGUGGGGCUAUGUAGAAUAAGUAGUUAUUUUCAGAAUAUAGAUACCUAGUGUAUAGUAUAAAUAGGGAUAGAUAACUGUUGAAAAGGUGGUUCAGCAGGUAGAAUGGAUGAAUAGUCAGGAAAAGUAAUUAUCAUCUGUAGUAUAAGAAUUGGUAUCUUGGGAUAGUAUAAGGAGAAUGGGAGAGGGGAAGAAAAUGCCAAAUUGUCAUAGUAUUGAGCCGAGGAUAAGCUUAGUGCUAUCUCUUCUUUUUAAUUUUCUUGUUUCUUUUGUGUUAGUGUUGAUUCAAGUGAAGAGAAUCGAUUUAAUGAAUCAAUGUUUAAUUUACAAAGUUAUUUAUAGAUGACUAUUUAUCAAUUAUUGUG